This 463-nucleotide ribosomal RNA is filed under the name uncultured bacterium. RNAcentral describes it as "partial 16S ribosomal RNA". It matches the Rfam family "Bacterial small subunit ribosomal RNA", at positions 339 to 795 of the family's 1533-position model. The record is from RNAcentral.
CUACGGGUCGCAGCAGUGGGGAAUAUUGCGCAAUGGGCGAAAGCCUGACGCAGCGACGCCGCGUGAGGGAUGAAGGUCCUCGGAUCGUAAACCUCUGUCAGAAGGGAAGAAGUUGUGUUGUGCUAAUCAGCAGCACAUUGACGGUACCUUCAAAGGAAGCACCGGCUAAUCCGUGCCAGCAGCCGCGGUAAUACGGAGGGUGCGAGCGUCAAUCGGAAUCACUGGGCGUAAAGCGCACGUAGGCUGUUAUGUAAGUCAGGGGUGAAAUCCCACGGCUCAACCGUGGAACUGCCCUUGAAACUGCGUAACUUGAAUUCGGGAGAGGGUGGCGGAAUUCCAGGUGUAGGAGUGAAAUCCGUAGAUAUCUGGAGGAACAUCAGUGGCGAAGGCGGCCACCUGGACCGAUAUUGACGCUGAGGUGCGAAAGCGUGGGGAGCAAACAGGAUUAGAUACCCCUGUAGUC